RNAcentral lists this ribosomal RNA (369 nucleotides) under Eurycorymbus cavaleriei. RNAcentral's name for it is "eukaryotic LSU rRNA". The stretch from base 1 to 107 matches the Rfam family "5.8S ribosomal RNA", at positions 50 to 154 of the family's 154-position model. The record is from RNAcentral. Lineage: Eukaryota; Viridiplantae; Streptophyta; Magnoliopsida; Sapindales; Sapindaceae.
GAAAUGCGAUACUUGGUGUGAAUUGCAGAAUCCCGUGAACCAUCGAGUCUUUGAACGCAAGUUGCGCCCCAAGCCUUUAGGCCGAGGGCACGUCUGCCUGGGUGUCACGCAUCGUUGCCCCCAACCCCCUCGCCCCGCAAGGGGCGACCGGAGACGGGGGGCGGACAAUGGCCUCCCGUGUGCCGCGUCACGCGGUUGGCCCAAAUGAGAGUCCCCGGCGACGGACGCCGCGACGUUCGGUGGUGCACUGUGCCUCGAGUUCCCGUCGUGCGUCCCUCCGUCGGAAGAAGGCUCCCCGACCCUCAGGCGCCGUCGACACGGCGCACGCAUCGCGACCCCAGGUCAGGCGGGAUUACCCGCUGAGUUUAA